Long non-coding RNA from Triplophysa dalaica, 846 nucleotides. RefSeq lists it as uncharacterized. Lineage: Eukaryota; Metazoa; Chordata; Actinopteri; Cypriniformes; Nemacheilidae. The transcript has 3 exons. The record is from RefSeq and is a predicted model, not a curated record.
UUAACCCAAAAGCUGGGUUGAGCCUGUUGGGUCAUGUUGUUGGGUUAUUUUCUUAGUGUUGGGUCAUUUUUUGAGUAACCCAAACGCUGGGUUAGCAGUCGGGUCCAAUUGAGUGACAGUUGAGAGAGUAAACCCCUCCCACUCAUCGACGCAUCAGACAAACUUUACCUUCGCGGGCAUUUUGAUCCACCUCAUCUCGAAAAGUUGUUAUUCGGAGAAGAAAAGCGUGCAGAAUAACAGCUAAUAUUAAUGGAUCAUUCCAUUCAAGAGAAUGUCAACUGGAACGUGGAUGUUUUCAUAAUAGGCUUAAAGAUGAACAAAUUGAUAAAGAAACCCUCCUGCUGGACAUCCACUUCCAAAAGUGCACGCCACACUGUUGUCUACAACUCUCAGGAAAAGAAUCCUCUUUAGUAAGACUGCUCCGUGGAUAUGUCAGGUUAAGCAGUGCUGAAACCGAAAGAACUAACGCUCUUUAAAAUGUUUUGUGAGUUUAUAUGAAGAGGAAAGUUACGGUGUCCCUUUUUCACAUCCAUAACGCUUGUUUAUUUCUUUUUUAUAGAAAACUUGUGCAUAGACUGAUAUUUUAUCAUAUAAAUGCGAUUCUAUCAACAAGGGUUUAGUAAAAUACUUUUUAUAGUGUUUUUAUGUCGCAUCCAUAACGCUGCAUUUUACUCAUGCCACUUUGUUAACUGUAUAUGAAUUUUUGAAGUGUUAAGUUGUCUAACUAUUUAUAUUUACUUGUGCCACUUUAAUAACCUUGUUAAAUGUAUAUGUUAAAGUCUAAACUAAUGUAAUUUAUUGAAGUUAAUUUUCCUUAAAUAUGUAUAAACAUACAUUUCAUCAAAG